UACGUAGGGAGCAAGCGUUGCCCGGAAUCAUUGGGCGUAAAGCGCGCGUAGGCGGGCCGGUAAGUCAGUGGUGAAAGUCAAAGGCUCAACCUUUGAAUGGCGAUGGAUACUGCCGGGCUAGAGUCCGGAAGAGGCGAGUGGAAUUCCUGGUGUAGCGGUGGAAUGCGCAGAUAUCAGGAGGAACACCAAUAGCGAAGGCAGCUCGCUGGGACGGUACUGACGCUGAGGAACGAAAGCCAGGGGAGCGAACGGG
Molecule: ribosomal RNA, 253 nt
Filed under: uncultured bacterium
Lineage: Bacteria
Description: partial 16S ribosomal RNA
Rfam family: Bacterial small subunit ribosomal RNA
Source: RNAcentral